RNAcentral lists this ribosomal RNA (455 nucleotides) under uncultured bacterium. RNAcentral describes it as "bacterial SSU rRNA". It matches the Rfam family "Bacterial small subunit ribosomal RNA", at positions 43 to 507 of the family's 1533-position model. The record is from RNAcentral.
CGUUGCUUAACACAUGCAAGUCGAACGAGGUCCACUGCGUAGCAAUACAAGGGAAGACCUAGUGGCGAACGGGUGCGUAACACGUGAGGAACUUGUCCCGGUCUCUGGGAUAACAGUUGGAAACGACUGCUAAUACCGGAUGACGUCGGAAUCUCGCAUGGGAUACUGACGAAAGGGUUACUGGAUCGGGAGAGCCUCGCGGCCUAUCAGCUUGUUGGUGAGGUAACGGCUCACCAAGGCAUCGACGGGUAGCUGGUCUGAGAGGAUGAUCAGCCACACUGGGACUGAGACACGGCCCAGACUCCUACGGGAGGCAGCAGUGGGGAAUCUUGCGCAAUGGGCGAAAGCCUGACGCAGCAACGCUGCGUGCGGGAAGAAGGCCCUCGGGUUGUAAACCGCUUUCAGUAGGAACGAAAAUGACGGUACCUGCAGAAGAAGGUGCGGCCAACUACGUG